This 639-nucleotide small RNA is filed under the name uncultured Dysosmobacter sp. Lineage: Bacteria; Bacillati; Bacillota; Clostridia; Eubacteriales; Oscillospiraceae. The record is from RNAcentral.
AUCGGCGGCGCAGUAUUCUAGUCAGAUCUGCCGUUUCCUAGGGAGGGCCUAAAAAUCCUCUGAAGGGCAUAUCGAUGAAACCUCUGGUGCUUGCUUGAUACGCCCAGUUUUGGGUGGGUGCUGGGGGGAAGCGCUUUCUGCGCUUGCGAACUCAGGGCGAUUUCCAAUGGCAUGGAUAACCCGACCCUGUUUUCGUGGAGACCUGUUCUUGUGCAUAGACGUACUCCCACUGUGGUAUUUUCGGCCUGUGUACGAAACAGAUUGUGAACCUGCAAUGCGGUGCAUCGGUCCGUUGGGGCCGUAACGCUGUGUGUAGAUGUAGCCUGCCUUGCGUGGGGUGGGUGAAUGGAGGAACUACGCGGCGGCGCUCUGGCCAGAGCCUUUCCGCGAUCGCCUCCUGAAACCCGGUCUGCAAAAGAGGCUAAAGAAACGGACGGACUGCGGUGGAAAUCACCUAGGCUGUCUUCGUGGGGCAAAAAAGGGAUUGCAGUGCGGACUAAGUGGCAGUCGGGCAGCGUGUUCGGCAACGGCGUGCCGCGGCACCGAAGGGGAAACCGCCUCCAUCGGCAACGAGAGGUGUGUCGUGGGGAAAACCAGCCCGUACCUAAGCCGUAAGAUUUACCUUUUUUGCUGCCGCCG